Molecule: ribosomal RNA, 492 nt
Filed under: uncultured bacterium
Lineage: Bacteria
Description: partial 16S ribosomal RNA
Rfam family: Bacterial small subunit ribosomal RNA
Source: RNAcentral
AUUGAACGCUGGCGGCAUGCUUUACACAUGCAAGUCGAGCGGUAACAGGCCUUCGGGUGCUGACGAGUGGCGAACGGGUGAGUAAUGCAUCGGAACGUACCCAGAGGUGGGGGAUAACGCAGCGAAAGCUGUGCUAAUACCGCAUGUGAUCUGAGGAUGAAAGCGGGGGACCGAGCAGCAAUGUUUGGCCUCGAGCCUUUGGAGCGGCCGAUGUCGGAUUAGCUAGUUGGUGGGGUAAAGGCCUACCAAGGCGACGAUCCGUAGCUGGUCUGAGAGGACGACCAGCCACACUGGGACUGAGACACGGCCCAGACUCCUACGGGAGGCAGCAGUGGGGAAUUUUGGACAAUGGGCGCAAGCCUGAUCCAGCAAUGCCGCGUGCGGGAAGAAGGCCUUCGGGUUGUAAACCGCUUUUGGCAGGAACGAAACGGUGUCCGCUAAUACCGGGCGCUAAUGACGGUACCUGCAGAAUAAGCACCGGCUAACUACGUG